Daphnia carinata is the source of this 647-nucleotide long non-coding RNA. RefSeq lists it as uncharacterized. The record is from RefSeq and is a predicted model, not a curated record. The transcript is spliced from 4 exons. Lineage: Eukaryota; Metazoa; Arthropoda; Branchiopoda; Diplostraca; Daphniidae.
GUUGUCGCGAAGUCCUAAGGGCUUUCUUUUAACCAAACUUGGCGGCGUUGGCUGCAAACUUGUUCAAGGAACAUGGGUUGCUUGUCUUGUUUAGUGCGUUUUCCCGAGCAUUCAGAGCAGGGCGUUCAACUGAUCUCUGGCGUGGAUACGAGGGAAAAAACAUUUGUGACCUUGGAGUAUGUGGCUUUUUCUUGAGAAAGAUGAAAGCCGAAAACCAGAUUUCCCACUUUGUUCUGUUUUUCACUGCCAUAAAAGGGAUUCCCAGAGUUCAAAUGCUAUACCGUUAUAAAGUCUAGAUGAACUGGCAAACGUCUGUAAACACAUCUUCAAGACUGAAACCAUCACGCCUGCAGUAAAACGAGCCCUCAGUGCAUUCGGCAAGAAAAUGUUGGCCUUUUCCUGCUACAUCCACUUUUGCAUAUGGUCCUAAGAAAUUAGGACCAUAGAGGGGAAACUAGUCAAAUUAUUCAGUAAACAAUUAGUUGCAAAAGCCAAAAUUUCCACUGAGGGACUACCAUCUGAAGUCAGAAAUAUCCCUUCAAUUAAACAAUGGCUGCAAGUUGUAGGAAUUUCCCAACCAUCAGUUGAAGCUUUAUGUGCCAAAUUCCACUCACUGGAGUCCCUGCAAGAACUUUGUGAUCAUGAAA